This 497-nucleotide ribosomal RNA is filed under the name uncultured bacterium. RNAcentral's name for it is "partial 16S ribosomal RNA". It matches the Rfam family "Bacterial small subunit ribosomal RNA", at positions 28 to 507 of the family's 1533-position model. The record is from RNAcentral.
GAUGAACGCUGGCGGCGUGCCUAAUACAUGCAAGUCGAGCGAACAGACGAGGAGCUUGCUCCUCUGACGUUAGCGGCGGACGGGUGAGUAACACGUGGAUAACCUACCUAUAAGACUGGGAUAACUUCGGGAAACCGGAGCUAAUACCGGAUAAUAUAUUUAACCGCAUGGUUCAAUAGUGAAAGACGGUUUUGCUGUCACUUAUAGAUGGAUCCGCGCCGCAUUAGCUAGUUGGUAAGGUAACGGCUUACCAAGGCGACGAUGCGUAGCCGACCUGAGAGGGUGAUCGGCCACACUGGAACUGAGACACGGUCCAGACUCCUACGGGAGGCAGCGGUAGGGAAUCUUCCGCAAUGGGCGAAAGCCUGACGGAACAACGCCGCGUGAGUGAUGAAGGUCUUCGGAUCGUAAAACUCUGUUAUUAGGGAAGAACAAAUGUGUAAGUAACUAUGCACGUCUUGACGGUACCUAAUCAGAAAGCCACGGCUAACUACGUG